RNAcentral lists this long non-coding RNA (616 nucleotides) under Capra hircus (goat). Its description in RNAcentral is "lncRNA (ENSCHIG00000002518.1)". Lineage: Eukaryota; Metazoa; Chordata; Mammalia; Artiodactyla; Bovidae. The record is from RNAcentral.
CUUCACCAUCUCCUAGGAGUUUGCUCAAAUUCAUGUCCAUUGAGUCAGUGAUGCCAUCAAACCAUCUCAUCCUCUGACCUGCUCCCCCUUCCCCUCUUGCCUUCAAUCUUUCCCAGCAUCAAGGUCCUUUCCAGUGAGCCAGCUUUCUGUGUCAGGUGGCCAAAGUAUUGGAAUUUUAAGUAUAGCAACAGUCCUAACAAUGAAUGUUCAGGAUUGACUGCCUUUGAGAUUGACUGGUUUGAUCUUCUUGUAGUCUAAGUCAGGAGUCUUCUCAAGCAUCACAAUUUCAAAGCAUCAGUUCUUCAGUGCUCAGCCUUCUUUAUGCUUUUUUGGACCAGGGAGGAAUUGGCAGAAGUCAUCCUUCUCCUGGACACUGGGCUGCAGACAUCAGAGGCAAGGACUGGAAUGUGACUCUUGGCCCACAGCUGAAGAAGGCUCAUGCUGAGCACAGACACAUCUGACUGGCUCCCCAUCCCUGCUGGAAGCUGCCUCUUCUGAGACCCUUGACUUUUAUGACCUCAAAAGUAAGUGCUAAUAUUGUGCAAAAUUAAUAGUGUAAAAGUAAAAGCGAAAAUAGGAUAUAUGAUGAACAGGUUCAUUUUAAACCAUGGAUUCC